UACGUAGGGUGCGAGCGUUAAUCGGAAUUACUGGGCGUAAAGCGUGCGCAGGCGGUUCGUUGUGUCGGUGGUGAAAUCCCCGGGCUUAACCUGGGAAUGGCCAUGGAAACUGGCGAACUGGAGUGCGGCAGAGGGGGGUGGAAUUCCGCGUGUAGCAGUGAAAUGCGUAGAGAUGCGGAGGAACACCGAUGGCGAAGGCAGCCCCCUGGGCUAGCACUGACGCUCAGGCACGAAAGCCAGGGUAGCAAACGGG
Molecule: ribosomal RNA, 253 nt
Filed under: uncultured bacterium
Lineage: Bacteria
Description: partial 16S ribosomal RNA
Rfam family: Bacterial small subunit ribosomal RNA
Source: RNAcentral